GACGAACGCUGGCGGCGUGCCUAAUACAUGCAAGUCGAACGAGAAUUUUUUACACCGAGUGCUUGCACUCACCGUAAGAAAUUCGAGUGGCGGACGGGUGAGUAACACGUGGGUAACCUGCCCAAAAGAAGGGGAUAACAUUUGGAAACAAAUGCUAAUACCGUAUACCAUGAUGACCGCAUGGUCAUUAUGUAAAAGGUGGUUUUGCUAUCGCUUUUGGAUGAACCCGCGGCGUAUUAACUAGUUGGUAGGGUAACGGCCUACCAAGGUGUUGAUACGUAGCCGAGUUGAGAGACUGAUCGGCCACAAUGGGACUGAGACACGGCCCAUACUCCUACGGGAGGCAGCAGUAGGGAAUCUUCCACAAUGGGCGCAAGCCUGAUGGAGCAACGCCGCGUGAAUGAAGAAGGUCUUCGGAUCGUAAAAUUCUGUUGUUAGAGAAGAAUAUGAGUAAUAGUAACUGAUUAUUCACUGACGGUAUCUAACCAGCAAGUCACGGCUAACUACGUGCCAGCAGCCGCAAUAA
Molecule: ribosomal RNA, 526 nt
Filed under: uncultured bacterium
Lineage: Bacteria
Description: partial 16S ribosomal RNA
Rfam family: Bacterial small subunit ribosomal RNA
Source: RNAcentral